UACGGAGGAUGCGAGCGUUAUCCGGACUUAUUGGGUUUAAAGGGUGCGUAGGCGGGUUAUCAAGUCAGCGGUAAAAUCGUGGAGCUCAACUCCAUCCAGCCGUUGAAACUGAUGAUCUUGAGUGGGCGAGAAGUAUGCGGAAUGCGUGGUGUAGCGGUGAAAUGCAUAGAUAUCACGCAGAACUCCGAUUGCGAAGGCAGCAUACCGGCGCCCGACUGACGCUGAAGCACGAAAGCGUGGGUAUCGAACAGG
This 252-nucleotide ribosomal RNA is filed under the name uncultured bacterium. RNAcentral describes it as "partial 16S ribosomal RNA". It matches the Rfam family "Bacterial small subunit ribosomal RNA", at positions 524 to 776 of the family's 1533-position model. The record is from RNAcentral.